AGCACCAGAACGGAAUGCAACAAUGAAAGCCUUACCAACACCCUUUCUAGCCUCCAAUGUAGUCCGUGCAUUUGCAUAUGUUGCAAUUUUCAUUCCAAGAAAUCCGGAAAUCACGGAGGUAAUAGCACCAAGCAAGAAGGAUAUGGUGCUAAAGACAGCAGUUGCAAGAGCAGGCUUGCACAUUUUGGAACUGUCAUACGUACAUUCCUG
Molecule: unclassified non-coding RNA, 210 nt
Filed under: Hevea brasiliensis (rubber tree)
Lineage: Eukaryota; Viridiplantae; Streptophyta; Magnoliopsida; Malpighiales; Euphorbiaceae
Source: RNAcentral